RNAcentral lists this transfer RNA (72 nucleotides) under Perkinsela sp. CCAP 1560/4. It matches the Rfam family "tRNA". Rfam says of the family: Transfer RNA (tRNA) molecules are approximately 80 nucleotides in length. Their secondary structure includes four short double-helical elements and three loops (D, anti-codon, and T loops). The record is from Rfam by way of RNAcentral. Lineage: Eukaryota; Euglenozoa; Kinetoplastea; Prokinetoplastida; Perkinselidae.
GGUCCCAUAGCUUAGCGGCAGAGCGCCACCCUAGUAAGGUGGAGGUCAUGGGUUCGAUUCCCAUUGGGACCU